GACGGAGGGUGCAAGCGUUAUCCGGAAUCGCUGGGUUUAAAGGGUGCGUAGGCGGCUGUAUAAGUCAGAGGUGAAAGCCCGGAGCUUAACUUCGGAACUGCCUUUGAUACUGUAUAGCUUGAAAUAGGUUGAGGUCAGCGGAAUGUGGCAUGUAGCGGUGAAAUGCAUAGAUAUGCCAUAGAACACCAAUUGCGAAGGCAGCUGGCUGGACCUUAUUUGACGCUGAGGCACGAAAGCGUGGGGAGUGAACAGG
This 253-nucleotide ribosomal RNA is filed under the name uncultured bacterium. RNAcentral describes it as "partial 16S ribosomal RNA". It matches the Rfam family "Bacterial small subunit ribosomal RNA", at positions 524 to 776 of the family's 1533-position model. The record is from RNAcentral.